GUAAUUGGCGGGCUGGAUACAGGCCGCUCUGGUCGUGGUGGACAGCGGUGAGGGCUCUUGUUUUCGCAGGCGUUCAACCGCCUUAAUUACGC
RNAcentral lists this transfer RNA (92 nucleotides) under Nitrosomonadaceae bacterium. RNAcentral's name for it is "tRNA-Thr". Lineage: Bacteria; Pseudomonadati; Pseudomonadota; Betaproteobacteria; Nitrosomonadales; Nitrosomonadaceae. The record is from RNAcentral.